UUUGCUGUUGCUGCUGUUGCUGUCACCGACCAGUUGGCUGGCCCGGCUGCUUUGACCGUUUAGGCCAAACUUGGUAAAUUGUUUUGUUGAGCGCUGAACGUUUUUGUCCGCUGAGGCCUUUCUUUUCUUGCUGUUGUUGCUGCUGUUGCAGCUAGUACUGCUUAUGGGCCUGCGACAAUUUUAAUUACUACUUGCCUGGGCAGGCUGAUGCACAACGAGAAAUUAGCAUUGAUUUGGUACAAUUUACAUAUCAAAGUCGGCAGCAGCAGCAACUUCCUGCCAUAUCAAUUGCAACAGCAACAACAGCAGCAGCAGCAGCAGCCGCUUCAUCUUUUGCCGGUGUGCAGCAGAUGUUUUGGAUGGGUCAAGCGAUCGCCACCAGGUCCAAGUCUCUAACCAACAAGCUGCCAUUUACAGAGCGUUGCGCCCACCGGGCCGCAGUUGCCACUGCUGCACAGGCACGGCUGUUGAGUCCAUUGGCCUCAUGCUGUUUACUUGCACCACUUUUUGCUGUUAGUGCAACAUUACGUGUUGCUGUCGUGCUGCUGUUGUGAUGUUGCUGCUGCAUCUGCUGUGCGAGUGCUCGCACUCAUUGCGCUGCCCAUUUUUUCAGUGGGUAUUAAAAUUACUUGGCAUGUAAUUAGUUUGCUUUUUGUACCCUUUGCCAAGAUCACUCGCUGCGUGUGGCCCCAAAACGUUCGUUUGAGGGCUCGCAUAAUGUUGUGUGUGUGUGUGGAUGCGACAUGUUGCCGUUGUCCAUGCUCCUGCUGCUGUUGUCGUUGUUGUCUGCACGCUAGAGGUGUUAUUUUUAUGGCUUUAUAAUGUGACUCAGUUUUUGUUGCCGUUGCCGUUGAUGCUGCUGCCGCUGGCGCUGUUUAUUACCCCGUUACGUGGCAUGUCAAUCACUUGACCCGCAAUGCAGUUUGCGCAAACAAAAUGCAACGAAGCCAAUGAAACUCUCAUUAAUUCAGAGCGACAGAUACAAAGAAAGGGAGUGAAAGUGCAAAGCCAGCAAUAUGCGUGAAAUGACGAAUGGGCACAAUUUAAGACAAUUUCAAGAAUUUUACGUGCAAAUCGAACCCUAAAUGAAUCCUUAGAUUAAUCUAGGUUGACAACAUGUUAAGACUUUGCAGAUUCCUAUUAUGUUUAGGUUAGAAGGAGACAUUAUUAAAUAUAUAUUUUCUCGAUCAGUAUCAACUGAACCAUGCAAACUAGUCUGUAGAUCUGUCGUUGUAUUGUAAGCAGCAAUCGCUUUAUAGACUCGAUAGAUCGGGUUGAAUUUAGUUAUUCUAUAAACAUCUUUACUUUAUACAAAAUCUUGUCAAACAAAUCACAAUAUCAUAUAGCUCUAAUCAGGUCAAAAGUUAGAUUUUGUAUAAUUUUGUAUAAAGUGUAUUCAACGUUCGUCGUGUUGCACAUAGCUGCUCUUUCCUGUAUUAUAAGAUCUUAUGCACAAAUUGCAAUUGACUCUGUUUUUUCUUGUUUCCAUUUGUGCUACUUUUCGCACAGAGAUCGUUUCUCCGUUUGAGUUGAAAAUUAUUGUGAUUACUGGCGACUUUUAGCCGUGAAUUGUUAUAUUUCUUUUUGUUGUUGUUGUCCAGAUGUGCACCUGUUCCACUUGCAGAUUCUCUUUUUAUCUGCCUAAAUUAAGCUGUUUGUAACUGGUAAAUUAAGACAUUUCUGAUUUUAUGUAGAAUAAAAAUAUACGCUUU
Molecule: long non-coding RNA, 1712 nt
Organism: Drosophila montana
Lineage: Eukaryota; Metazoa; Arthropoda; Insecta; Diptera; Drosophilidae
Exons: 2
Source: RefSeq, a predicted model, not a curated record